Molecule: non-coding RNA, 113 nt
Organism: Podarcis lilfordi (Lilford's wall lizard)
Lineage: Eukaryota; Metazoa; Chordata; Lepidosauria; Squamata; Lacertidae
Source: the annotation of a GenBank genome assembly
GCAACCACUUUUUCACUCUUCAAAUUAUUUUCAGUUUUAAUUAAGAAUGGUGACUCGAUAUGAACAUUCUUAAUUGAAACUGAAAAUAAUUUGAAGAGUGAAAAAGUGGUUGC